AGGGUAGUAGUUAAACAUAACAUUUGGGUUGCAUCUAAAAAGUACUGUAAUUCAGUCUACCUUA
This 64-nucleotide transfer RNA is filed under the name Stolotermes ruficeps. RNAcentral's name for it is "tRNA-Ala". The record is from RNAcentral. Lineage: Eukaryota; Metazoa; Arthropoda; Insecta; Blattodea; Termopsidae.